UUUCUGCUGAGGACGAUCGGUCCGCCCUCUGGGUGAGUAUCUGGCUCGACCUUGGCAUCUUCUUGAAGAACGUAACUGCACUUGACUGUGUGGUGCGGUAUUCAAGACUUUUACUUUGAGGAAAUUAGAGUGUUUGAAGCAGGCAUAUGCCUUGAAUACAUUAGCAUGGAAUAAUGAGAUAAGACCUUUGUUCUAUUUUGUUGGUUUCUAGAGCUGAGGUAAUGAUUAAUAGGGAUAGUUGGGGGCAUUCGUAUUUAACU
RNAcentral lists this ribosomal RNA (260 nucleotides) under uncultured dinoflagellate. RNAcentral describes it as "partial 18S ribosomal RNA". The stretch from base 45 to 260 matches the Rfam family "Eukaryotic small subunit ribosomal RNA", at positions 686 to 903 of the family's 1831-position model. Lineage: Eukaryota; Dinophyceae. The record is from RNAcentral.